RNAcentral lists this ribosomal RNA (429 nucleotides) under Acidobacteriota bacterium. RNAcentral's name for it is "Acidobacteria bacterium partial 16S ribosomal RNA". It matches the Rfam family "Bacterial small subunit ribosomal RNA", at positions 355 to 776 of the family's 1533-position model. Lineage: Bacteria; Pseudomonadati; Acidobacteriota. The record is from RNAcentral.
UAGGGAAUAUUGCGCAAUGGACGAAAGUCUGACGCAGCAACGCCGCGUGGGUGAUGAAGUUUUUCGGAAUGUAAAACCCUGUCGGUGGGGAAGAAACGCACGAGUAGUAACUGGCUCGUGCCUGACGGUACCCACAAAGGAAGUCCCGGCUAACUCCGUGCCAGCAGCCGCGGUAAUACGGGGGGGACGAGCGUUGUUCGGAUUUACUGGGCGUAAAGGGCGCGUAGGCGGACCUUCAAGCCGGAUGUGAAACCCCCGGGCUUAACGCGGGGCCUGCAUUUGAUACGGUUGGUCUUGAGUACAGGAGAGGAGAGUGGAAUUCCAGGUGUAGCGGUGAAAUGCGUAGAUAUCUGGAAGAACACCAGUAGCGAAGGCGGCUCUCUGGACUGAUACUGACGCUCAAGCGCGAAGGGUUGGGGAGCAAUCAGG